AUUUCAUUGAGCGUUCCAGUAUUGCUUGUAAUAAAAUACCAUGCUUAUUUAACGCUAUAGAUCUGGAAAGAGAGAAGGAUAAGGAAGUCAUAGAGGCUGUGCUUAAAAGUAUUCGUCAUCAGAUUGAUAAUUUUUCAAAUCCAACAAGAACGCAGGAAGGACGUAAUGAGGAGGUUACCACUGAGGUCACGGCAGUGCUGAACGAUAUUUUGGACCAGAUGGACUACAGGACUCAUAAUCUGGAAAGAGAGGUGGACUACAGGACUGAAAGUGAGCAUCAGGCCAAAAAAUAUGAAAAUAUUUUAACAAGCUUGCCAGUAGUGCUUGCAAUGAACCACCUUGCUGACUUCAUACUACAGAUCUGGAAACAGAGCAGGACAAAGAGAAGGAAAUAGAGCAGGACAUAAAGGCUGUGCUUAACAGCAUUCUUGUUCAGGUCGAUGCUACUUCAAGUAUAUAUGUGGAUGUGGCUGUGCCAUCCCUUACUGAUGCUGAUGAACCACUUUCAUACUUCAACAUAAAAGAUCUGUGCAUUUCCAAUAAUAACAUUACCAAUAGAUCUGGAAAGAGAGAAGGAUAAGGAAGCCAUAAAGGCUGUGCUUAAAAGUAUUCAUCAUCAGAUUGGUGCUUUUUCAGGUGAGUAUGAGCAGAGCUCAUUUCAGCUGUGCCAUCCCUUACAGCUGUUGACAAAGCACUUUCAUAAAUCCCUAUGUUCAUACUUGAGUACAAAAUAAGUGUACAUUUUCAUUGGCAAUAUUGCAUUCAAACAGAGCAAGCAACGGCCCAGAAUACAAAUAGUGAACGUGUGACAGUGAGUUCCCAAAGCACCACUAGAAAGGAGGUGGAGAAAAAGAACAAAAAAGUGGCUUUGUGGCAGUAGCAGCAGAGAAAACCAACCAGAAGAAACAGGAACCCUCACAGGGUAAGUAGAGGACGUGAUGUCACUCAUUUGCAGAUAUGUUUUGCUUCUUUUGCUUUUAGAUUGCUUGUAAUAAAAUACCAUGCUUGUUUGAAACUAUAGAUCUGGAAAGAGAGAAGGACAGAGAGAAAGAUAGUGAUUCACAGUAUUUGUCAUCAGAUUGAUGCUUUUUCAAGUGAGUAUGAGCAGAGCAUUUCAGGAAAGGAAAAUCUCAUAUACAGAGAAGUAGGUUCAAGUGGCUUUGAAUGUGGCAGUAGCAGCAGAGAAAACCAACCAGAAGGACCAGGAACCUUCAAAGGGUAAGGAGAGGACAUGGUGCCACUCAUUUGCAGAUAUGUCAUGAAGAAAAAUCUCAUAUACAGAGAAGUAGGUUCAGAGAAAUACUGUCGUUUUACACCACAAUUUCUAUUAUGAAAAGAUACAGGGCACAGCAGAGAAUUAAAAACAAA
Molecule: long non-coding RNA, 1368 nt
Organism: Clupea harengus (Atlantic herring)
Lineage: Eukaryota; Metazoa; Chordata; Actinopteri; Clupeiformes; Clupeidae
Exons: 3
Source: RefSeq, a predicted model, not a curated record